Sorex fumeus (smoky shrew) is the source of this 165-nucleotide small nuclear RNA. RefSeq annotates it as U1 spliceosomal RNA. Lineage: Eukaryota; Metazoa; Chordata; Mammalia; Eulipotyphla; Soricidae. The record is from RefSeq and is a predicted model, not a curated record. The transcript has a single exon.
AGUAUGACCUGGUAGGGGAGAGAUCAUAAUCACAUGAAGGUGUUUUUCCAGGGUGAGGCUUAUCCAUUGCCCUCCAGAUGUGGUGACCCCUGAGAUUUCCCAAAAUGUGGGAAACUCAACUGCGUAAGUUAUGGUAGUAGGGGCCUGAGUUUGAAAGAUUCCUUG